GGGAAUUCAUUUUACUAUUUAAGAUCUAAAAUUUUAAGAUAUAAAAUGGGGUCACAUUUUUCAACUGAUUUUUUAAAAAAUGUUUCCACUUAGAACUUUUCUGGUUAAAGUAAACAUGUUUGCAAUGACAAUUAAGCUAUCAAAUAUUUUAUUAUGGCUGUUUUAUCUGUUACCACAAUUACAUAAAUUAAAACAAGUACAAGCUUGUUAACUUCUCUGUUAAACUAAUAUGAACCAUGAUUAAACUUAGAACACUCUUUUUAAUGUGAAAGACUUAGUAAAGAGAAGUCCCAAUUAUCUGCCUUACAAUUCAGCAUUUGGAAACUACAG
Molecule: long non-coding RNA, 330 nt
Filed under: Bos taurus (domestic cattle)
Lineage: Eukaryota; Metazoa; Chordata; Mammalia; Artiodactyla; Bovidae
Description: long non-coding RNA NONBTAT021763
Source: RNAcentral